This 505-nucleotide ribosomal RNA is filed under the name uncultured bacterium. RNAcentral describes it as "partial 16S ribosomal RNA". It matches the Rfam family "Bacterial small subunit ribosomal RNA", at positions 28 to 507 of the family's 1533-position model. The record is from RNAcentral.
GACGAACGCUGGCGGCGUGCCUAAUACAUGCAAGUAGAACGCACAGUUUAUACCGUAGCUUGCUACACCAUAGACUGUGAGUUGCGAACGGGUGAGUAACGCGUAGGUAACCUGCCUGGUAGCGGGGGAUAACUAUUGGAAACGAUAGCUAAUACCGCAUAAUAUUGAUUAUUGCAUGAUAAUUAAUUGAAAGGUGCAAUUGCACCACUACCAGAUGGACCUGCGUUGUAUUAGCUAGUAGGUGAGGUAACGGCUCACCUAGGCGACGAUACAUAGCCGACCUGAGAGGGUGAUCGGCCACACUGGGACUGAGACACGGCCCAGACUCCUACGGGAGGCAGCAGUAGGGAAGCUUCGGCAAUGGACGAAAGUCUGACCGAGCAACGCCGCGUGAGUGAAGAAGGUUUUCGGAUCGUAAAGCUCUGUUGUAAGAGAAGAACGGGUGUGAGAGUGGAAAGUUCACACUGUGACGGUAUCUUACCAGAAAGGGACGGCUAACUACGUG